AUUGAACGCUGGCGGCAGGCCUAACACAUGCAAGUCGAACGGUAACAGGAAACAGCUUGCUGUUUCGCUGACGAGUGGCGGACGGGUGAGUAAUGUCUGGGAAACUGCCUGAUGGAGGGGGAUAACUACUGGAAACGGUAGCUAAUACCGCAUAACGUCGCAAGACCAAAGAGGGGGACCCUCGGGCCUCUUGCCAUCGGAUGUGCCCAGAUGGGAUUAGCUUGUUGGUGGGGUAACGGCUCACCAAGGCGACGAUCCCUAGCUGGUCUGAGAGGAUGACCAGCCACACUGGAACUGAGACACGGUCCAGACUCCUACGGGAGGCAGCAGUGGGGAAUAUUGCACAAUGGGCGCAAGCCUGAUGCAGCCAUGCCGCGUGUAUGAAGAAGGCCUUCGGGUUGUAAAGUACUUUCAGCGGGGAGGAAGGGAGUAAAGUUAAUACCUUUGCUCAUUGACGUUACCCGCAGAAGAAGCACCGGCUAACUCCGUGCCAGCAGCCGCGGUAAUACGGAGGGUGCAAGCGUUAAUCGGAAUUACUGGGCGUAAAGCGCACGCAGGCGGUUUGUUAAGUCAGAUGUGAAAUCCCCGGGCUCAACCUGGGAACUGCAUCUGAUACUGGCAAGCUUGAGUCUCGUAGAGGGGGGUAGAAUUCCAGGUGUAGCGGUGAAAUGCGUAGAGAUCUGGAGGAAUACCGGUGGCGAAGGCGGCCCCCUGGACGAAGACUGACGCUCAGGUGCGAAAGCGU
This 745-nucleotide ribosomal RNA is filed under the name uncultured Escherichia sp. Its description in RNAcentral is "bacterial SSU rRNA". It matches the Rfam family "Bacterial small subunit ribosomal RNA", at positions 28 to 762 of the family's 1533-position model. Lineage: Bacteria; Pseudomonadati; Pseudomonadota; Gammaproteobacteria; Enterobacterales; Enterobacteriaceae. The record is from RNAcentral.